UAAUACAUCGGAACGUGUCUUCUAGUGGGGGAUAACUGCCCGAAAGGGCAGCUAAUACCGCAUGAGACCUGAGGGUGAAAGCGGGGGAUCGCAAGACCUCGCGCUGGAAGAGCGGCCGAUGUCCGAUUAGCUAGUUGGUGAGGUGAAGGCUCACCAAGGCGACGAUCGGUAGCUGGUCUGAGAGGACGACCAGCCACACUGGGACUGAGACACGGCCCAG
RNAcentral lists this ribosomal RNA (220 nucleotides) under uncultured bacterium. RNAcentral's name for it is "partial 16S ribosomal RNA". It matches the Rfam family "Bacterial small subunit ribosomal RNA", at positions 111 to 334 of the family's 1533-position model. The record is from RNAcentral.